RNAcentral lists this non-coding RNA (29 nucleotides) under Mus musculus (house mouse). The record is from RNAcentral. Lineage: Eukaryota; Metazoa; Chordata; Mammalia; Rodentia; Muridae.
UGAGAGAUCCUCUUUCAAUUGUGUUACCC